GACGAACGCUGGCGGCGUGCUUAACACAUGCAAGUCGAACGGAAAGGCCCUGCUUUUGUGGGGUGCUCGAGUGGCGAACGGGUGAGUAACACGUGAGUAACCUGCCCUUGACUUUGGGAUAACUUCAGGAAACUGGGGCUAAUACCGGAUAGGAGCUCCUGCUGCAUGGUGGGGGUUGGAAAGUUUCGGCGGUUGGGGAUGGACUCGCAGCUUAUCAGCUUGUUGGUGGGGUAGUGGCUUACCAAGGCUUUGGCGGGUAGCCGGCCUGAGAGGGUGACCGGCCACAUUGGGACUGAGAUACGGCCCAGACUCCUACGGGAGGCAGCAGUGGGGAAUAUUGCACAAUGGGCGGAAGCCUGAUGCAGCAACGCCGCGUGCGGGAUGACGGCCUUCGGGUUGUAAACCGCUUUCGCCUGUGACGAAGCGUGAGUGACGGUAAUGGGUAAAGAAGCACCGGCUAACUACGUG
RNAcentral lists this ribosomal RNA (468 nucleotides) under uncultured bacterium. Its description in RNAcentral is "partial 16S ribosomal RNA". It matches the Rfam family "Bacterial small subunit ribosomal RNA", at positions 28 to 507 of the family's 1533-position model. The record is from RNAcentral.